This 301-nucleotide ribosomal RNA is filed under the name uncultured bacterium. RNAcentral describes it as "partial 16S ribosomal RNA". It matches the Rfam family "Bacterial small subunit ribosomal RNA", at positions 509 to 807 of the family's 1533-position model. The record is from RNAcentral.
CAGUAGCCGCGGUAAUACGUAGGGUGCGAGCGUUAAUCGGAAUUACUGGGCGUAAAGCGUGCGCAGGCGGUUUUGCAAGACAGAUGUGAAAUCCCCGGGCUCAACCUGGGAACUGCAUUUGUGACUGCAAGGCUAGAGUGCGGCAGAGGGAGAUGGAAUUCCGCGUGUAGCAGUGAAAUGCGUAGAUAUGCGGAGGAACACCGAUGGCGAAGGCAAUCUCCUGGGCCUGCACUGACGCUCAUGCACGAAAGCGUGGGGAGCAAACAGGAUUAGAUACCCCAGUAGUCCCUGUCUCUUAUAC